Molecule: long non-coding RNA, 2695 nt
Filed under: Papio anubis (olive baboon)
Lineage: Eukaryota; Metazoa; Chordata; Mammalia; Primates; Cercopithecidae
Description: lncRNA (ENSPANG00000037511.1)
Source: RNAcentral
AAUUUAAACAGAUUUCUCAGUUAAUGCUCACUAUGCUGUAGGAAAAAAUCCAGUCUGCCAAUGUUCUAGGUUACCCCGCCUCCCUGUGCUUCAGUCAAGAGGGCAUCAGAAAGGUACCAGAGCUCACCAAUAGCAAGUGUGUGUGGGUGUGGGUGUGGGUGUGGAUAUGGGUGGAUAUGGGUGGGUGUGGGUGUGGGUGUGGGUGUAGGUGUGUGGAUGUGUCUGGGUAGGUGUGUGUGGGGGUGUGGGUGUGUGGGUGUGGGUGUGUCUGGGUAGGUGUGUGUGGGUGUGGGUGGGUGUGGGUGUGGUUGUGUGUGUGUGGGUGGGUGUGGGUGUGGUUGUGUGUGUGUGGGUGGGUGUGUGGGUGGGUGUGGGUGGGUGUGUGGGGUGUGGGGUGUGGGUGUGUGGGUGGGUGUGUGGGUGUGGGUGUGGUUGUGUGUGUGUGGGUGUGGGGUGUGUGUGUGGGUGUGGGUGGGUGUGGGGUGUGUGGGUGUGGGUGGGUGUGGGAGUGUGUGGGUGUGGGUGUGUGGGUGGGUGUGUGGGUGUGGGGUGUGUCUGGAGUGUGUGUGAGUGUGGGGUGUGUGUGUGUGCUGUGGGUGUGUGUGGGUGGGGGUAGGGGUGGGUGUAUCCACUGUGUUCCUAGGCACUAGGGACACUACGGGGAGCAAAAUGCCAAAUUCUUUGUUCUCAGGCAGCUCAUAUUUUAGUAGGGACUUGAAGAAAUAAAUAAAUGCAUGUGCUAUAUGGUGAUAGGCAGGUGUUAAAAAGGAACAUAGGAUAAGGGGCUAUAGUGAAAGUAGUGCAGGGAGAAUCAUUUUAGAAGAGGGGGUCGGGGAAGCCACACUGAGGUGGUGGUGACUGGGAGCAGAGGUAUGAAUGCAGUAAGGGACUCAGCCAGCUGGCUGUCUGGGCUAUGUGGGGAAUACAUUCCUACAGGGCAGAAGACAUGAUAGGUGCAAAGGCCCUGAGGUGUGAGGGCGUCCCCCCACCCUGGGUUUUCCACAGACAGUCUUCAUGGAAAGCAGUGGGGCUCAUGGGACCUUCAAGCCAAGGGGGAGAGUCAGGAUCCUGGGUUGCCACGUCUGGGACAAAGGACCUCCCAAUCUCACACCGUGUUAGCCAGGAUGGUCUCGAUCUCCUGACCUCGUGAUCCACCCACCUUGGCCUCCCAAAGUGCUGGGAUUACAGGUGUGAGCCACUGCGCCUGGCCUCAACAUUAUUAAUCAUCAGAAAAAUGCAAAUAAAAACUGUGAGAUAUCAUCUAACCCCAGUUAAAAUGGCUCUUAGCCAAAAGAUAGACAAUAAAAAGUGCUCGUGAGGAUGUGGAGAAAGGAAACCUCAUAUACUGCUGGUGGGAAUGUAAAUUAGUACAGCCACUAUGGAGAAAAGUAUGGAAUUUCCUCAAAAAACUACAAAUAGAACUACCAUGUGAUCCCACUGUUAGAUAUAUACCCCAAAGAAAAGGAUCAGUAUAUUGAAGAGAUACCUGCACUCCCACGUUUAUUACAGCACUAUUCACAAUAGCCGAGAUUGGGAAUCAACCUAUGUGUCUAACUACAGAUGAAUGAAUUUUUUAAGAUGUGGUGUAUAUAUAGAAGGGGAUAUUAUUCAUCCAUAAAAUCAUGAAAUCCUGUCAUUUGCAACAGUAUGGAUGGAACUGGAGGACACUAUGUUAAGUGAAAUAAGCUAGGCACAGAAAGACAAAUUUUGCAAUGUCUCACCCAUAUGUGGGUGCUAAAAAUUAAAGCAAUUGAACUCAUGGACAUAUACAGCAGAAUGAUGGUUACCAGAGGCUGAGAAGGGUAACAGGGAGUAGAGGGAAAAGUAGGGCUGGUUAAUGGAUAGGAAAACAUAAUUAGAUAGAAUAAAAAAUAUCUAGUAUGUGAUAGCACAAUAGGGUGACUAUAGUCAACAAUAAUUUAGUGUUUUCUUUUUCUUUCUUUCUUUCUUUUCUUUUCUUUUUUUUUUUUUUGAGACAGAGUCUGGCUCUGUCUCCCAGGCUGGAGUGCGGUGGCGCGAUCUCGGCUCACUGCAAGCUCCGCCUCCCGGGUUCACGCCAUUCUCCUGCCUCAGCCUCCCGAGUAGCUGGGACUACAGGCGCCCCCCACCACGCUCGGCUAAUUUUUUGUAUUUUUAGUAAAGACAGGGUUUCACUGUGUUAGACAGGAUGGUCUGGAUCUCCUUACCUCGUGAUCUGCCCACCUCAGCCUCCCAAAGUGCUGGGAUUACAGGCCUGAGCCACCGCGCCCCGCUGCUACUGUGUAUUUUUAAAUAACUGAAAGUGUCGAAAUGGAAUAUUCCUACCACAAAAAAAAAUGAUUAAUGUUUGAGACAAUUACCCCAAUUACCUCAAUAUGAUUAUUACAAAUUGUAGGCCUAUAUCAAAAUAUCACAUGUACCCCAUAAAUAUAUGGACUUACUAUUUACCCAUAAAAAUUAAAAAUUAAAAAAUGGAGAGAAUAGUCACCUUGAGUCCAAUUACCUGACGCUUCAGAACCACCAACUGCUGCAUCUGACUUAUUCUAGUAUCCACUUUCUUCCCCCGUUGCUGAAAUUUACAGUUGAAAUAAAGUGAAUCUGCUUAAUUUUAUGCCUGUUUUGCUUGAGUCAGUUACCAAUGUGGAUUAUUUCUUUCCAAUGGGAAGCUAUUUGAGUGCACAUAAUUACUACACCACAUUUCUUAUGUGGCCUCAGG